AAGAGAGACUUUACACGAACACAAACAAAGAAUCACAGCGAGUGAGAGAGAGCUCUAGAAGGAGAGAGAAUGGUGCUGUGGGAGAUCACGUUGGGGACUGCGUAUUUCUUGGGGCUGAAGCGGACAUACAGGCUCGCUUUGAGGAUUCAGCGCAAGGUCGUUAGCCCCAAGCACCCCAAGAUCCGCCAGUUUCUUCACAGACGAACACAUGCUGUAUUUGAUGUAGCACUUAAGGUUCACCGGAACAUUCAAGAGAGGGAUAUAGAAGUUGGUCGGAAUCUUGGUAACUGGAUUUUGCGGUGGCUUGACCGAAUGAAACCAUUAGCUCAGAUUGCUGGUUCCUCUACUGGAAAAUCCCCCAAUAGUACUAGCUCAGGGUUGAGCAUGACAAAGCAGAUAAGCAACUCCUCCAAUCUGAAACCUCCUUGGGAAAUCCAAAUAUCCAGAAAUGAGGAUUCUGCUAGGCAUAUGUUUACCUCGUCCAGAAAUAUUUGGCCUAAGCCUUUUCCAACCAUUUCGAUGAUGAUGCAGCCACCAAAGCCUGCUGGGACUAUGACCCAGUACAGGCACUUCUCUGGCCCUGAAAUGUUGAAAUCAAAUUCUAAAAGAGGUUGGUUGGAGGGAGGUCUCCGGAAGCACAUAAUGCAGAGGAUGCUACAAAACUAACAGUGAAAGCCCUUUUGGUGUUUCUCAGUAGAAAGAAGGAAGACUUUUGAAAUUCAACAAUGGAAGAGAUGGUUCGAAGUUGGUGAUUGAAAGGACACAAUGUAAUGAGAAACGGACGGCAACAACAUUUUUAUGCUAGCUGCACUAAAACAGCCCGACCGUGGAACAACCAGAACCAGUUGUAGUGCAGUCCGAAUGUACAACCCUGCUAUUACUCCUCAGGAUGUAGAUUAAAUUUUUCAUAACAGAUCAUUUUAAUUUUACUUGCUAGCAUGAAUUAUUUAUUUUAUAAUUUAAGGGAAAAGUGCUCUAGAGGUAUGAACUUUGAUCAAAUCACU
Corylus avellana is the source of this 1004-nucleotide RNA transcript. RefSeq lists it as uncharacterized. The record is from RefSeq and is a predicted model, not a curated record. NCBI's taxonomy places the organism in Eukaryota, Viridiplantae, Streptophyta, Magnoliopsida, Fagales, Betulaceae.